Molecule: ribosomal RNA, 373 nt
Filed under: uncultured organism
Description: partial 16S ribosomal RNA
Rfam family: Bacterial small subunit ribosomal RNA
Source: RNAcentral
GUAGGUGGCAAGCGUGUCCGGAAUUAUUGGGCGUAAAGCGCGCGCAGGCGGUUCGUUUAAGUCUGAUGUGAAAGCCCACGGGCUCAACCGUGGAGGGUCAUUGGAAACUGGAGAACUUGAGUACAGAAGAGGAAAGCGGAAUUCCACGUGUAGCGGUGAAAUGCGUAGAGAUGUGGAGGAACACCAGUGGCGAAGGCGGCUUUCUGGUCUGUAACUGACGCCGAGGCGCGAAAGCGUGGGGAGCAAACAGGAUUAGAUACCCUGGUAGUCCACGCCGUAAACGAUGAGUGCUAAGUGUUAGGGGGUUUCCGCCCCUUAGUGCUGCAGCUAACGCAUUAAGCACUCCGCCUGGGGAGUACGGCCGCAAAGGCUG